UACGGAGGGUGCAAGCGUUAUCCGGAUUCACUGGGUUUAAAGGGUGCGUAGGUGGGUCUGUAAGUCCGUGGUGAAAUCUCCGAGCUUAACUUGGAAACUGCCAUGGAUACUAUAGGUCUUGAAUACUGUGGAGGUCAGCGGAAUAUGUCAUGUAGCGGUGAAAUGCGUAGAUAUUGGGAGGAACACCAGUGGCGAAGGCGGGUUGCUGGGCUGAUACUGACGCUGAGGCGCGAAAGCCAGGGGAGCGAACGGG
This 253-nucleotide ribosomal RNA is filed under the name uncultured bacterium. RNAcentral's name for it is "partial 16S ribosomal RNA". It matches the Rfam family "Bacterial small subunit ribosomal RNA", at positions 524 to 776 of the family's 1533-position model. The record is from RNAcentral.